RNAcentral lists this ribosomal RNA (272 nucleotides) under uncultured prokaryote. RNAcentral's name for it is "partial 16S ribosomal RNA". It matches the Rfam family "Bacterial small subunit ribosomal RNA", at positions 524 to 794 of the family's 1533-position model. The record is from RNAcentral.
UACGUAGGGUGCGAGCGUUAUCCGGAAUCAUUGGGCGUAAAGAGCUCGUAGGCGGUUCAACAAGUCGGCUGUGAAAGUCCGGGGCUCAACCCCGGAAUUGCAGUCGAUACUGUUGUGACUUGAGUCCGGUAGAGGAGAAUGGAAUUCCCGGUGUAGCGGUGGAAUGCGCAGAUAUCGGGAGGAACACCAGUAGCGAAGGCGGUUCUCUGGGCCGGCACUGACGCUGAGGAGCGAAAGCGUGGGGAGCAAACAGGAUUAGAUACCCCGGUAGU